AGGUGACCUGCGGAGGGAUCAUUACCGAGCGAGGGCCUCUGGCCCGACCUCCAACCCUUUGUUGACCAACACUUGUUGCCUCGGGGGCGACCCGGCCACGGUGCCGGGGUCCCCGGCGGACCAUUUCAACUCUGUAUCUGUACGUCGGAGUACUUGAUGAAUCAAUCAAAACUUUCAACAACGGAUCUCUUGGUUCUGGCAUCGAUGAAGAACGCAGCGAAAUGCGAUAAGUAAUGUGAAUUGCAGAAUUCAGUGAAUCAUCGAAUCUUUGAACGCACAUUGCGCCCUUUGGCAUUCCGAGGGGCAUGCCUGUUCGAGCGUCAUUACACCACUCAAGCCUGGCUUGGUAUUGGGCGGUAGGGUCCCCCCUACGCCCCAAUUUUGCCGGCUGGAACGACCCGAAUCUCAGCGUUGUGGCAUACGAAUUCGCUGGCGAGGGGGGCGGUCCGGCCGUAAAACUUCAUUCAAGGUUGACCUCGGAUCAGGUAGGGAUACCCGCUGAACUUAA
Molecule: ribosomal RNA, 508 nt
Filed under: uncultured Capnodiales
Lineage: Eukaryota; Fungi; Ascomycota; Dothideomycetes; Capnodiales
Description: eukaryotic LSU rRNA
Rfam family: 5.8S ribosomal RNA (bases 170-323)
Source: RNAcentral